CUCAAGAAAAGAAAUAAUGAAGAGUGGACAUCGACUACUUCAUAUAUGGGAUGAAAUGGGAAAAGAUCAGGAGAGCCCUAAACUCACAGGGAUCCACUUAGAAUUAAAGAUUGUAUCCUGAAAUGAAAGCACCGGAAAACACAAGGAAGUGUGAGCAAGAACCAGAACUUAUUAUGUACUGUUAAUUUUAUCCAACAAAAGAGAACUGCUUUUGUUUUGAAUUCCUCUAUACUGAGUUAGUUCAGGUAGCACACUAACUCAGGGAAUAUGAAAACACAUGACAGUCAUAUGGCAGAGGAACUAAGUAGAGAUUGCAAAAUCUCUUUUUAGAGUUCAGUGUAUGACCUUAGGAAGCCCACAUGUUACUCCAAACCUAGAGACCUUCACAGUUCUAACCCUCUUAUACAAGCCAUUCUUAGCCAAUAGCUGCCUCGAUGGUUGAAGGAUUCUCAUAACUGCUAGCUGAAGUCCCAUGUUUAGCAUCAACACUUCAUAGUUCAAAUAAAUUG
This is a long non-coding RNA of Grammomys surdaster, 509 nucleotides long. RefSeq lists it as uncharacterized. The transcript has 3 exons. Lineage: Eukaryota; Metazoa; Chordata; Mammalia; Rodentia; Muridae. The record is from RefSeq and is a predicted model, not a curated record.